This 505-nucleotide ribosomal RNA is filed under the name uncultured bacterium. Its description in RNAcentral is "partial 16S ribosomal RNA". It matches the Rfam family "Bacterial small subunit ribosomal RNA", at positions 28 to 507 of the family's 1533-position model. The record is from RNAcentral.
GACGAACGCUGGCGGCGUGCCUAAUACAUGCCAGUAGAACGCACAGUUUAUACCGUAGCUUGCUACACCAUAAACUGUGAGUUGCGAACGGGUGAGUAACGCGUAGGUAACCUGCCUGGUAGCGGGGGAUAACUAUUGGAAACGAUAGCUAAUACCGCAUAAUAUUGAUUAUUGCAUGAUAAUUGAUUGAAAGAUGCUAUUGCAUCACUACCAGAUGGACCUGCGUUGUAUUAGCUAGUAGGUGAGGUAACGGCUCACCUAGGCGACGAUACAUAGCCGACCUGAGAGGGUGAUCGGCCACACUGGGACUGAGACACGGCCCAGACUCCUACGGGAGGCAGCAGUAGGGAAUCUUCGGCAAUGGACGAAAGUCUGACCGAGCAACGCCGCGUGAGUGAAGAAGGGUUUCGGAUCGUAAAGCUCGGUUGUAAGAGAAGAACGGGUGUGAGAGUGGAAAGUUCACACUGUGACGGUAUCUUACCAGAAAGGGACGGCUAACUACGUG